Molecule: ribosomal RNA, 1724 nt
Filed under: human gut metagenome
Description: bacterial LSU rRNA
Rfam family: Bacterial large subunit ribosomal RNA
Source: RNAcentral
AUAAGGGCGCACGGUGGAUGCCUUGGCACUAGGAGCCGAUGAAGGACGGGACUAACACCGAUAUGCUUUGGGGAGCUGUAAGUAAGCUAUGAUCCAGAGAUUUCCGAAUGGGGGAACCCAAUAUCUUUUAUAGGAUAUUACUUUUCAGUGAAUACAUAGCUGAUUAGAGGUAGACGCAGAGAACUGAAACAUCUUAGUACCUGCAGGAAGAGAAAGAAAAUUCGAUUCCCUGAGUAGCGGCGAGCGAAACGGGAAGAGCCCAAACCAACAAGCUUGCUUGUUGGGGUUGUAGGACUCCAAUAUGGUAGUCUGUUAGUAUAGUUGAAGGAUUUGGAAAAUUCCGCUAAAGAGGGUGAAAGCCCCGUAGACGAAAUGCUGACAACACCUAGGAGGAUCCUGAGUACGGCGGAACACGAGAAAUUCCGUCGGAAUCCGCGGGGACCAUCCCGCAAGGCUAAAUACUCCCUAGUGACCGAUAGUGAACCAGUACCGUGAGGGAAAGGUGAAAAGCACCCCGGAAGGGGAGUGAAAUAGAUCCUGAAACCGUGUGCCUACAACAAGUCAAAGCUCGUUAAUGAGUGAUGGCGUGCCUUUUGUAGAAUGAACCGGCGAGUUACGAUUGCAUGCGAGGUUAAGUCGAAGAGACGGAGCCGCAGCGAAAGCGAGUCUGAAUAGGGCGAAUGAGUAUGUAGUCGUAGACCCGAAACCAUGUGAUCUACCCAUGUCCAGGUUGAAGGUGCGGUAAAACGCACUGGAGGACCGAACCCACGUACGUUGAAAAGUGCGGGGAUGAGGUGUGGGUAGCGGAGAAAUUCCAAACGAACUUGGAGAUAGCUGGUUCUCUCCGAAAUAGCUUUAGGGCUAGCCUCGGAAUUGAGAAUGAUGGAGGUAGAGCACUGUUUGGACUAGGGGCCCAUCUCGGGUUACCGAAUUCAGAUAAACUCCGAAUGCCAUUCAUUUAUAUCCGGGAGUCAGACUGCGAGUGAUAAGAUCCGUAGUCGAAAGGGAAACAGCCCAGACCACCAGCUAAGGUCCCAAAAUAUAUGUUAAGUGGAAAAGGAUGUGGGGUUGCACAGACAACUAGGAUGUUGGCUUAGAAGCAGCCACCAUUUAAAGAGUGCGUAAUAGCUCACUAGUCGAGUGACCCUGCGCCGAAAAUGUACCGGGGCUAAACAUAUUACCGAAGCUGUGGACUACACCAUUAGGUGUAGUGGUAGGAGAGCGUUCUAAGGGCGUUGAAGGUCGAUCGUGAGGACGGCUGGAGCGCUUAGAAGUGAGAAUGCCGGUAUGAGUAGCGAAAGACAGGUGAGAAUCCUGUCCACCGUAUGACUAAGGUUUCCUGGGGAAGGCUCGUCCGCCCAGGGUUAGUCGGGACCUAAGCCGAGGCCGAUAGGCGUAGGCGAUGGACAACAGGUUGAUAUUCCUGUACCAGUUGUUUUUGUUUGAGCAAUGGAGGGACGCAGUAGGCUAAGGAAUGCAUGCGAUUGGAAGUGCAUGUCCAAGCAAUGAGUCUUGAGUAGAGUUAAAUGCUUUACUCUCUAAGGACAAGUUGUGACGGGGAGCGAAAUAAUAGUAGCGAAGUUCCUGAUGUCACACUGCCAAGAAAAGCUUCUAGUGAGAAAACAACUGCCCGUACCGUAAACCGACACAGGUAGUCGAGGAGAGUAUCCUAAGGUGAGCGAGCGAACUCUCGUUAAGGAACUCGGCAAAAUGACCCCGUAACU